Non-coding RNA from Paramisgurnus dabryanus, 216 nucleotides. The record is from RefSeq and is a predicted model, not a curated record. NCBI's taxonomy places the organism in Eukaryota, Metazoa, Chordata, Actinopteri, Cypriniformes, Cobitidae.
CAGGGAAAAGAUGUUUUCAUUUGUAAAUCUCCAUAUUCCUCCCACUUGGCUCUCGUCUCCACCCUGUGACCCUCUCCUCAGUCUUCCAUUGGACUCCCAAAAGAAAGAUGCCCUGAUUUUCCCCCUAUGGACCCCAGGGCACUUUCUACUGUGUGUCUGUUGCACAGCACAUUGUUUCAGGACCUCUGACAGAAUUAACAGGCCAGGAUGUUAAGG